AGUCCCCGGGCUGCACUCCGGGCCGCUGAGAGAUCGGGUCCCAGAAGUUCCGGGAGUGGUCGGGUGACCCUGGAACUUUCUUCUUCUGGAGCCCGACCUGGGGCUGACUGCAGAGCAGGCUGCUGGCAGGGACCAAAAGGAGCUCCGCGCCAGGCCGGAGGCUGCGCCCGUCACUCGCGGUCCCGGCCGGGUCCCUGGCGCGUAGU
Molecule: long non-coding RNA, 206 nt
Filed under: Homo sapiens (human)
Lineage: Eukaryota; Metazoa; Chordata; Mammalia; Primates; Hominidae
Description: HSALNT0338150
Source: RNAcentral